AAUUUUACUUUAUUUUAUUAAAUAUUUAAUUUUAAAAGAGUUUUGGCCUUUGAGAGACAUUCUGUUCUUCAGCUUCUACAGCCUGAGCGCGUAUUUGCCUUUUCGUAAUCGGCUUAAUCAAUACAUAUCUUUAAACUGAGUCUGGUUUCAUGGUUGGUUCAAUGCCUACUGUUAACUCUUCUCAGUGGCAAGAGAAGGCUAGUGGUUUUUUUUCUUCGUCAGGUGUGAAGCUGAAAGAAGCUGGACAUUCAGCUGGAAAUUUUGUUGAGGAAGUUGCUAAGGAUGCAAAAGGAAAUGCUGCUGAUGUGGCUGAACGGGUUGGUACUUUGUUCAAGAGCCGAUGGGCACUCCUCCAACAGCCAGCUACCAGACAUGCUGUGCAAGAACGUCUAAUAUCUGCUGCUGCUACUACGGGCACAUUCUUCAGAAAAGGUGUAUCAGAGACAAAGGACAAGGUUGUUGUGGGGAAAGUUAAAGUUGAAGAGGUUGCAAAAAAGACUGCACAAAAGAGCAAGACAAUUUUGACAGAUAUUGAACGAUGGCAGAAGGGGGUUGCCAGUACUGAUGUAUUUGGAGUUUCAAUUGAGGUAACCGUGCAAAAACAACAGUCAAGCAGGGUUAUUCCACAUAUUUUGGUUAGGUGUGCCGAUUAUCUCGUCUUGUCAGGAUUAAACUCACCAUGGUUGUUCAAAUCUGACGGAGAUAAAAAGGUUCUUCAGCAGUUGGUGUCUAUGUAUAAUCAAGAUCCAAAUGCUCCCUUACCUGAGGGUACAAAUCCAGUUGAUGUAGCAGCUCUUGCUAAAUGUUACUUGGCAAGUCUUCCUGAACCACUAGUCACUUUUGAGCUUUAUAAUGAGAUCAGGGGUGCUCGUACAAGCAUAAAUGCCCUUCGAAACAUUUUUAAGAAACUUCCAAACGUGAACUACAUGACCUUGGAGUUUACUACUGCCCUACUUCUCCGCGUAAGCCAAAAAGCACUUCUCAAUAAGAUGGAUGCUCGUAGCCUUUCUAUGGAGAUGACUCCUAUAAUAAUGUGGCAAAAUGACAGGCGGCCAGAAUUCUAUCGGGAAUAUUGGGAUUAUCAUUCUAAAAGCUCUUCUGCAAAGUCUUUAAAUAAUACACCACCUACUUACAGUGCAUGGGACAUGCUUUCAGAAGAGAGUGAUGAUACGGAUGCUUCCUCUCACAUUCCUUUAGAUGAUGGCGUUCCAGUUGACUUCAAUGCUGUCGAGGUCGUUCAGUGCCUCAUAGAACAUCAUAAUGAAAUUUUUACUGAUGCUAACGAAACAAUUUGGAGAUAAAUCAACAACCCUUUUUCUUGAGGCGCCAAAUAUUCUUGGGUGGAUUCUGAUACAAGUCUAUCUCGUAGAGGAAGAUUUAUAUCUGAGAGUUGUUUUCUUAGUUCGAUUGACCAGGUAGGUAAAUUAAACUCAAAAUUUAUUCGGAUGUGAACAAUUAGCACAGUGAGAGAAACUACACUGUGAUGCACAGAAUGGAGCACAUUUAGGAAUGCUUUAGUCAAUCUUUUCAAGUUUUCUUUUGUAAUAACCUACCAGUAUUUGCAUGGGUUUCAAUUUACUGAUUUGAAGAUAGAUAUUUCAGUUGUACAUACAACUAGAACUGCUAUUAUAUUAAGUUUGUGAAUAAUAACUAUAUUUACAAUUGAAGAAUCAACAUUACUUUACUCUUCUUCCGGAAUUUUUCUACGCCCCUUGUUCACACUAUAAAUUUGCUUUCAUAAAUAUUUGUGUACCACAGUUUAAUAUCAAUGGGUCCCCACCCUGUUUAUAAGAGCGUGUUGGCAUGGUGUGCAAUAAAUAGCGGUAGUAUGAAAAUUGACCUGGUGGUAAGGAAAAUUUUCCCUCUUCUUCGUACUUGGAUUUCUGUAAUUGAUCAAUGGAGGAAGCCGCAGUUCAAACUUGUAUAGGAUUUUUUUGUUUUAAAAAAUUUCUUUUAUAUUUAUGCGUGUUCAAGCCAGCUUGCACGCACCUCAACUAAUUUUACAGGACAAUCUGCUACCCUACAACAUUUGGAUUAAACCCUUGUAUAGUAUAUUCAUACUGCAAGCUUUUCUGAACCCUUGUAUGCAAGCUUUUAUUCUAGAAAUUUCCUAAUGCUUGACAUAAUAUUUCCCUCCGAGUACCAAACUUGGUGAUUCUUAUAAAUUAAAUUAGACACUGGUCUUAUCUAACCGUUUGUAUUCUUAUUUCCAAUAAUAUUUAACCCUCCAUAUGAAAUAACACAUUUCUUUCUGAAGAUCAUUUGAUAAGGAUGAUAGACAUAUUGACAUGUUUAGACGUUUAGAAGAUAGCAAAAAUGGGAGUGAUUUCCUUCUUUUCCAGUUCUGAUAUUCUAUAACAGAAUUUGAGUUUGGACUACUAUCGUCCAAGUUUAAGGACCCAUUAUGAUGGGAGAUGAUGAAGUGAUUUUGGGUGUGUUUGAACAUUAACGAUCAUCAAUGGAUCCUUCUAAAUACGAUGACGACUUCUGUGACUACUAUUUCGAAGUAUGUCCUAGAUUAGCUUUGUUUUAUAUGAAUAAGUUGUUGAACUUCCCAUGGUCCUGCUCUCUUUCUCAUCCUUAGGACUUGGGCCUAGUCUCUUCGUUGUACUUCAUCUCUAUGUAGUGUCUAUUCAUUUUCUUAAUGAAGAAGCAAAAAAACUUCUCAGCUCGUGCUGAUUUAGAACCGUUUAGUCCAAUGAUAGUGAGCAGGAAAUAAGAAAAAACAGAUCAGCAAAGCCCACCAAAGCAAUAUAGCAAACUAAUAAAUUAAGACGUGAAUGCAUUGCCUUUUGAGGCAGUGGAGUUUAGAUAUCAAUGUUUCAAGUUACAAUCUUUUGCUUUGUCAUGAUUAAAUGCCUAGUUCAAUGAAGGAGGAGAUCGAUCAAAGAAGUCAAAUAAAUCAGCUGUGAAAUCAUCAAAGCAAUCAUCUGGGGUUGUAUAGGAAUUGUUUGUUUCCAAAGUCUCACCUGGUUCGAACACGUCUUGCACAUUGCACGGAAUGUGGUUUGGUGCUAGUCCAUGGCAGUCGGGAAACAUUCCGAUCUCUUGCGAGGAUUGAGCAAAUUGGGAGAAACAGCAAUGAGAAAAAGGGUCAAAGGGUGCUACCAUGUGUAUGGUUGAAGUUCCAAAUAUUUGAUUUUCAUUUUCCAUUGUCGAUGAUUGUUCAUCCGGCUGAGACGAGCUGGAGCUAGGAACCUGCAAAUACAUCAGCCAUACUACCAAAAAAUCACCAAAAUGAUAGUCUAAUCUUCAUUACAGACGAAGGUUGGACAUCUACAAGAAGUUGUAAGUUGGUAACUAUUAACUUAAGAAACCAAUUAUCUUCCAUUUAACUUAAAUAGAAAACUAUUUUACCUCUAA
Cucumis sativus (cucumber) is the source of this 3363-nucleotide RNA transcript. RefSeq lists it as uncharacterized. The record is from RefSeq and is a predicted model, not a curated record. Lineage: Eukaryota; Viridiplantae; Streptophyta; Magnoliopsida; Cucurbitales; Cucurbitaceae. The transcript is spliced from 12 exons.